Molecule: transfer RNA, 69 nt
Filed under: Micromoema xiphophora
Lineage: Eukaryota; Metazoa; Chordata; Actinopteri; Cyprinodontiformes; Rivulidae
Description: Micromoema xiphophorus tRNA-Ala
Rfam family: tRNA
About the family: Transfer RNA (tRNA) molecules are approximately 80 nucleotides in length. Their secondary structure includes four short double-helical elements and three loops (D, anti-codon, and T loops).
Source: RNAcentral
AAAGUCUUAGCUUAAUUAAAGUAUCUGUAUUGCAUGCAGAUGAUGUGGGUUCAAUUCUCGUAGGCUUUA